GAAUUGGACCGGGUACCUGGAAUGGAAAUAAAGCGACCCCCGGGCCUUAAAAACUCCCCGGUGGGGCCCAAGCUAAACCCCCCCGGGUUAAUACCCGGAAAGGGGUUCCCAAAAGCCGGUUUAACCUUCCGGGAAAUCCAACCUUGGGGGCCGGUUAAAAAAGCCGCCAAUGUUAAAGGCCCGGGUUUUGUUUUAAAGUUAGAAAAUGAAAACCCUUACCGGGCUCAAACCCGUGGAACAGCCUUCUAAAACCUGGAUAAACCUAAGAGUCUUGGGAAGAAGGGAAAGAUGGAAAUUAGUAGUUUAGGGGGUAAAAUCCCGUAGAGAUUACUAGGAAUACCCGAAACGAAGGCGAUCUUCUGGAACAGGGACUGAGGCUGAGAUGCGAAAGGCGUGGGGAGCAAACAGGAUUAGAUACCCUGGUAGUCCACGCCUAAACGAUGAAUGUUAGUCGUUGGAGUGCUAGCCACUUCAGUGAUGCAGCUAACGCAUUAAACAUUCCGCCUGGGGAGUACGGCCGCAAGGUUAAAACUCAAAGGAAUAGACGGGGACCCGCACAAGUGGUGGAGCAUGUGGUUUAAUUCGAAGAUACGCGAAGAACCUUACCUGGCCUUGACAUAUACCAGAAUCUGCCAGAGAUGGUGGAGUGCCUUCGGGAGCUGGUAUACAGGUGCUGCACGGCUGUCGUCAGCUCGUGUCGUGAGAUGUUGGGUUAAGUCCCGCAACGAGCGCAACCCUCGUGACUAGUUACUAACAGCAUAGGCUGAGGACUCUAGUCAGACUGCCUUCGUAAGGAGGAGGAAGGUGAGGACGACGUCAAGUCAUCAUGGCCCCUUACGGCCAGGGCGACACACGUGCUACAAUGGGAAGGACAAAGAGAAGCAAAACUGUGAGGUGGAGCAAAUCUAUAAACCUUCUCUCAGUUCGGAUUGCAGUCUUGAAUUCGACUGCAUGAAGCUGGGAUCACUAGUUAUCGUGAAUCAGCCAUGUCACGGUGAAUUACGUUCCCGGGUCUUGUACCUUCACCGGCCCGUCACACCAUGGGAGUUGGAUUUUCACCCG
This 1062-nucleotide ribosomal RNA is filed under the name epibiont metagenome. RNAcentral describes it as "bacterial SSU rRNA". The stretch from base 203 to 1062 matches the Rfam family "Bacterial small subunit ribosomal RNA". The record is from RNAcentral.